Triticum aestivum (bread wheat) is the source of this 236-nucleotide long non-coding RNA. RefSeq lists it as uncharacterized. The record is from RefSeq and is a predicted model, not a curated record. The transcript has 2 exons. NCBI's taxonomy places the organism in Eukaryota, Viridiplantae, Streptophyta, Magnoliopsida, Poales, Poaceae.
CUCGCCCCUCUCUCUUCAAUCCUGUAUGGAUCGGGGAACCAGGGCAACGACCCCGCGCCCCGUCGCCGAACUCCAUCGCCUCCGCCGCCCGGAGCCACCUCGCUGGACCUUGCCGCCCUGUUGUCGCCUCCUCGACCCUCCUCCCCGAACGGACUCUUCAUGCCUCAUCGACCUCUUGCCUCACGACGCCCAUUUACAAAAAGAGAGAGAAUAGUGGCAGCUGGAAUUCUAGACCU